GGACCCGCACAAGUAGUGGAGCAUGUGGUUUAAUUCGAAGAUACGCGCAGAACCUUACCAACACUUGACAUGUUCGUCGCGACUCUAAGAGAUUAGAGUUUUCGGUUCGGCCGGACGAAACACAGGUGCUGCAUGGCUGUCGUCAGCUCGUGUCGUGAGAUGUUGGGUUAAGUCCCGCAACGAGCGCAACCCUCACUUUUAGUUGCCAUCAUUAAGUUGGGCACUCUGAAAGAACUGCCAGUGAUAAGCUGGAGGAAGGUGGGGAUGACGUCAAGUCCUCAUGGCCCUUACGUGUUGGGCUACACACGUGCUACAAUGGUAUCUACAACAGGAAGCAAGACCGCGAGGUUUAGCAAAUCCUUAAAAGAUACCUCAGUUCGGAUUGCACUCUGCAACUCGAGUGCAUGAAGCUGGAAUUACUAGUAA
Molecule: ribosomal RNA, 426 nt
Filed under: uncultured bacterium
Lineage: Bacteria
Description: bacterial SSU rRNA
Rfam family: Bacterial small subunit ribosomal RNA
Source: RNAcentral